RNAcentral lists this ribosomal RNA (450 nucleotides) under uncultured bacterium. RNAcentral's name for it is "partial 16S ribosomal RNA". It matches the Rfam family "Bacterial small subunit ribosomal RNA", at positions 338 to 795 of the family's 1533-position model. The record is from RNAcentral.
CCUACGGGGGGCAGCAGUAAGGAAUAUUGGACAAUGGCCGCAAGGCUGAUCCAGCCAUGCCGCGUGCAGGAAGAAGGCCCUAUGGGUCGUAAACUGCUUUUGAACGGGAGAAAACCCUUGCUCGUGAGCGAGGCUGAUAGUACCGUUAGAAUAAGCAUCGGCUAACUUCGUGCCAGCAGCCGCGGCAAGACGAAGGAUGCAGGAGUCAUCCGGAUUCAUGGGGUUGAAGGGGGACGUGGGCGGCAGUGUAGAAAUCUGUGGGCUUAACCCACAAACUGCCAUUGAUACUGCAGGUCUAGAGUACAGUUGCCGUUGGCGGAAUAUGACAUGUAGUGGUGAAAUACUUAGAUAUGUCAUAGAACACCGAUUGCGAAGGCAGCUAACGAAGCUGUAACUGACGCUGAGGCUCGAAAGUGCGGGGAUCAAACAGGAUUAGAUACCCUGGUAGUC